GCGCAGCCGCAUGGAGGAGGAGGAGGGGGGCGGUGGCGGGCGCCAUGUUGGUGGCGUGGGGUGAUGGCGGUGCGGGAGGGGAGCAGGACUAAGAUGUCGGAAAGGGGGCGUUUGGUGCCUCCUGAGCAGGGGGAGGCUCCGCGAGCCCUCGGCGGCGGGGCCCUGAGGAGCGACGCCCGCUGAGGGCCUAACCAGCUGACCAGUUCCGGGUGUUGUCUUGGGUUCGGCAUACCCGCUGCCUGGCUUGGAGGAGGUCAGCUAGAUUUUGAGAAAUGGCUGUAGAAUUCCGCUUGUGUUGUUCUGUGUCAGGGAAUGGGAAAUCAACCAUUUGUCAAAUGAGAGGUUCAUCGCUGGUAAGGGGACUGGAGUUCUCUUGUUAUUGCUGAAAUAAUUUUUUCUCAAAACUGGGAGGAAAGGCAAUGAUGUAUUGCAUGGUUUGUGAAAUAAUAUGGUUUUUAAUUACAGCUGAUUCCUGUGAAAUAAAGUACUUUAUUACUUCAAGAGGACACUCUGUUGAAAGGAGUUGAAGAAUUUUGUAGGCUCCCUGCAAGUGUCGGCCUAAGUCCAAUAAUGGUGUAGGUCAGGAAAAAGGAUUUACAAGGUUUUAUUUCUAAAAUACUUUGGCUCCUCCUGGAGGUAAGUACAAUGCAUUUGCUCAGGGUAAUACCUCACAGUAACUACACAGGUAUGGAAGUUGUUUGCCCUAGGGUACAUCCAGAUGGUGGAGGAAGGGUGUCAUGUGAUGUUAAUUCCUAACCACAUCAUUAAACCUAGAAGUUGGAGUCUUUCAAGAUUUGUUGAUACUACGGCAAUGCGUGCUGUUCUUCCAUCUCUUUAAAUCCAUGUCCAUCUAGUUAAAGAAUCUGAACUAAUUCCUGGCUUUUCCCAUCCUCCUGUGAAAGACCAGGUGUCUUUGGAGGUUUGCCUUACAUAGGUUCUCCCUACGCCAGCUUACCCAUUUUGCUGUCUUCAUCACUGAAGGAAAGGAGAAUAUAAUGCUGUUGGCGCUAUAACUUUCAGUAAUAGUUGUAUACAUCUGAAGAAUCCUGAAUUACAAGCAUACCCCCCCCCUUUCUCUUCCUUCUGUGUGCAGAUAUGGCAGUUGUGCCAUGGGAAAAAAAAAAAACAGGCAGUGGCAUGAUGACAUGUCACAACAGUUGCUCUCUUUAAACUUUAAGCCUAUGCUUUUAUCUGUGCAGCUGAUACCAAGUAAUGAUGGUAAGUAUUGCGAUGGGAUAACUGUCUUCUCUAUAACUGGCAGAAAACAUGGAUGUGAAAUCCUCAUCCAAGGUUCAAAUAUAUACUUUUAAACUGGUUUAGAAACAAUACCACUGGCAAUGAUGCUUCUCUUUCUGUCCUUCCCCUUUGAUGCAAUGCUGCUGCUCAGGGUAGAAGGCGAGGAUGCAUCCUGCUUUACAAAUAAAAUUACUUCACUGCUUUACUGUGCUCCCAUAUCUGAAGGUGCUGCAGAUGUCUCAGCUAAGAGUUGCUUUAGCAGAUUGAAAUGUAGAAAUAAAGAAUUAAUGUAAGAAAGUAUCCAAAUGAAUACCUAAUGCAGCAGACAAGUAAAAUACUGCCCUGUGUUGUAUGGUUCAUUUUCAUGACUGGGAUUGUCUGAUACUUGUCACUGGAUUUUACUGAUCGCAACUUGCAAGAGUUUUUAAUUGUAAAACCUUUGUUGUCUCAAACUUACUCUUUUUACAGUGUUUGCUUGAAAAUGCUAAUGUCGGCUUACUCAACAAUUCUUCUGACUCAACAGGUCCUAAUUGCAAGAUCUGCAACAAGCUUAUAGCCCUUAUAGCCAUGUUGUGGAAAUAAGUGUUGUCUCUGUUAUCUUAGUGUUUUGUAUGAGAAGAGUUAAGGUGACAAUAGAAUCGAAGGCUGGCCUUUGCCUUUCCUUAAAUACAUGGGUAUACUCUGGUUUAAUAGUUUAUGAAAGCUUGUUCAAGUCUCUGCAAGGUGCUGAGCCUGCUAAGCUGCCAUGAUUGUUUAUACUUCAGCUGUUGCGUCAAAAUCCUACACGGUAGGAACUACAACUCCCUUGUUACAAAAAUGCUUUUGGUCACAGUGAACUCAGGUAAGCAACUACUCAGUGCCCUGAAAAUAUGGAAAAGCAGUUGGAAGUUCUGGAGGAGGGGUAGAGAAGACAAGGAUAAGUAGGAAUGUGAGAUGCCUGUUUGCUGUUUUGCUUAAAGAAGAAAUUAAUGCAUUUUCGUACAUAGAAACUUCAUAUCUCAGCUUUCAUUCUGAAAAGUUCUUUCUCUUUAUUAAAACCUAAUGGAUUUGCAUUCUAUAAAUGCAACUUUCCCUGGAUGAUAUGCAAAAAAAAAAAAAGUCUACAGUCUUAUGAGAAACACAUUUACAAGAUGAAGUGUGAAAAUGUUGCAGGAUAACUUUCAAGGUGUCAACAUCCAGGUCAGCACAGCAGGGAGAAAUGUUAAGAAGUGGGGCUUUUCUCAGUUCUUGUGUUGGUCCUAUAUAACUUCCAGCCAUCAAUCCUGCUGGGUGGAAACAUUUUCAAGUGCACUCAAACAGGAAAUGGAGGAUGGUUUCUAAAGGUAACUGAUAAAAUCUGUACUAGUCUUGGCACAUAAAUUAGUGUGUUUUUUUUUUUUAAAUCCAUUUUCUUACUAUUCCAGCUACAAAACGUAGUUGUCCACAGUCCCCCUGGGGGAAGGGGAUAAGCUGAAGAGUCACAGCCAGACUAGCUUUAGAGCUUAUGAAGGAAGGGGGUAAAGACUUUCACAUUAAAAUUACUGCUCUGAUUUUGGGGUUUAAGAAGUUGCUGUGAGUUUUCUUGUUUGUAAUGGUCUCCAACAGAGCUGCUGCCUGAAGAGUUAACAGCUGCAGGAUGAGAGAGUGAAUUGAGCUGGGCAUAGCAGGUAAAAACUGCUAUAUGGUGUUACUGUUUUCAAGAAUCUUAAUGGUAAUUCAGCAAAAUGAUCUUAAAUACAUUAUUUAUUCUACUUUGUUCUUAAACAGAACUUGGAAAGGCACGGGUAGGAGCAGAAGGGUUGUGUACCUUAAGUGUUCAUAAAUUAUGGGGACACAGUUAAAUGUCUGGGACACCCUAGAAUUCCUGUAUUAACUUUUUUAUUUUUCAGUGCAAGAAGAGUGCUUUGAGAGCAGUUGAGAACCUCUUCAGGUAUCGUGAACAUGUUCUCCAACUGAAACGUGGCAGCAGUUCAAUGGCAGUUACACAACAGGAGGGGGUUUGCAGAGUACUGCAAGUCCUGGGAUUCAUAGGAACUCGUUUUAAUAGAGAGAAGACCUCGGGUUCCUCCAGAACUUUUAACUCCCAUGAAUGUAAAUGAGGUCUCAUCUGCUGUACUGAAGGGGAAAUUUUCUCCUGUUGACACUGGACAGGAGGAUUAGAAUAGGGGACUUCAUAGGUGCUAGGCAGAGCACUGCCUUUGAAAAACUGCAGGCAGUCCAAGUACAGGAGAUUCCAGUUGUGGGAAAAUCCCCUUUGGGAAGGCACACUAACAACGGGGAGAACUUGGUAAACAAAGGAAACACAAGUUGAGUGUGCUGCUUCUCAGCUGCGUGCAGGCAUUUCUCUUCAGGUGGAAUGGCUUAAGGUGUCGUUUGAAGACCACAGAAUUAUUGCCAGACCACAUUCCUAUUUCUCUUGAGAUCAUAAAUGCACUUGUAUGGUCCAGAGUCACCCACGUAGCUUUAGUCUCGGUCAAGUGAGAGAAUAUUUAUUGAUUUAAAAAUAAGAGUACUUCUUGGUCCCCUUAAGUCCUGCAGAGCUAUUGGAGCAGUGCACUGAAGGUAAGCUUUCCCCACCCACGUGCUGCAAGAGACUGGCACACCGAGCUCGCUCAGGUGGGGUCCUGGGCUGAACAUAAAGCCUUUGGUCGGCUGUGAUCUAGCCGUCACGUACCCAACAAGCACACCUCAGCAGUUCCACGUGGAACAAGAAAGUUAACGCUGGGGCUGCACUGGUUCAGAUGUGUUCUGUGUGUGCACCGUGCUCGUUGGCACAACGCUUGAUUACACACUGUGUUUCAUAAAGCACACAGGGUAUCAUGCCGAGGUUACACUGAGUACAGACUCUGCUCUCUUGCCAGUAAUCCUGGGAAGGUCUAUUUUUGUCGUGUAGUGGUAAACCUGGGUUUGUAAAUGAUACUGGCUCACUCAGGAGCUGACAAAUCCUUAAGCAUGGUACUCGUUUUCAGUCAUAAAAAAAAAAAUGAAAGGUAGGUAUGAGUGGGGUAGGCAGGGAUUUUUUUUCUGAUGGGUGACAAAUUACCAAAUUUAAAAGCUGACUAAAAAUAUCUCUUUGGGAAAAUAUGAAUGCUAUGAUUAAGGCAAUGUGACCCAUCAGUUAUGGUCAUUUUCCAGCACAGUUCCUCGUCCUUGGUUGUGUGUAGUUUUUUCUUUUGUGGUUUGCAGGAAAAAGCACGUUGGACAUAGGGAGACUGUGAAAGCUAUAACCGUAGGUAAAAAUGUCACAGCUGCUUUUUUGUUAAAUCAUGCACCAUUUAUUUCCUAAGAAAGUCCUGCAACUAAAUUGACAAUGCUGGAGUCCCAGGUUAUGUGUGUGUUCCCACUUCUUUGGCUACUUAGAUGCAGCGGCACAAAAUUACACCAUGCUUUCUACAUGAUUCAGUUUAAAAUACAAGCUUUUGCAGUGUGAGUACAUAUGCAGCAGUACCGUUGGAGCAUUUCUUAACAUGCACAAGCUGUUUCCAUGUCGGUAAGUAACACUGCACUCUGAAAAAGCACCCAGCUGCAGGGAGGGUGCCAUUUGAUAGUGUCUCCUGUGCUGGAAUUCCCUGGUUUUACUCCCCUUGCCUUGGACUCUGGUGUUUUCCUGAACUUUUUCUGUACGUUCACGCUCUAUCAUGUACCUGAUUAUUUUUUGUUUGUUUUUGCCAUUUCUCUGCAUAUACCUCUUCCUGGAAAACGGGGAACAACAGUACAUACCUCAGGUUCCUGGCCAAGUUUCCAUUUGCAUGGUUUCACUUGCUCCAUUCUGUCAAGUUAUGUGUCCUAAGGAUAUAAUUUAGUGGACUGCUGGUAAGAAGCUAACCUUUACAUCUUGGCCCCAGCCCACGUAGGUCAGGUUUAUACAAGCCUGCUUCCUUACGAUGAAUCCGGUGGAUACUCUUUUACAGCCUUUGGUUUCCUGUUGCACUGCUUUAUGGCAAAAUAACGUUAUGCUGCUCUUGCAGACCCCUAAAAAGGGGUAAUGCUAGGGGUGAUUGCUUUAUACCUGCAGAGUUGCACAGCCCAGAAUCUUCUGAACCUUGCUCUUCUAUUUACACAAGACCUGAGGCUCUCAAGUGUCAUAACUGGUCAGAUUCUGGGUCCGUCUGUACCAGGGUGGUUUUGUAUCCGGCAAAUCCUUUUGGGGCAUGCAUUCCCAGCAGGUGCAUAAUCCGAGCUUUGCAUUCUCAGAAAAUGUAGAUGUGUGAUGUGGGCUUGGUGGCACGGCUCAUUUAAGGAGCUUGCUGUUAUCUUUCGCCCCUUGCACUCCUGUGCCACGGUACACAGUUCCCUGGCAUGCCAACGCUGCCAUCUGCAGUGGCACAGAGAUUAGUCAGGGUGUUAUGUGCCCUGCCCUGUGUGCUUCUCUUUGGCCCGGGGUGGAAGCAGGAGGGGUUUGUAGUUGUGUGGCUUUUUUUUUUUUAAAACCUGGAUCAGGUCAGUGAGGUGGUUGAGAACACUUGAAACAGGGCAGUAAAAAUCAGCAAUCAGGUGCACAGAAGAAGUCGGCCUUUGGCUGGUUGCUGAAGCUUCUGUCUCAUUAAACCAUGCACCGAAGGAUGCAGUUUGUUUUGUAGGGGAGGAGCAGCAGCAUGUCCCUUGUGUAUGAUUGCUAUUGUUAACUGUGUUUUUUCUGCUUUAGGUCCCUGAUACAGGACGCAGCCAAAUGCUUUGCUGCAUGUAGCCUUCUGACUAGGGAGUGGCAGCUUGAGAAACCCCGAUGCCUGUAGGCAGUAAAAUCAUAGGGGAAAAGAUUUAGAGUUGUGGAGGAGUUUUCCUAAAGCGUUGUCUUUUAUAACUGCUCUGGAGAGUACUAACUCGUUACCUUAUAAUGUAAGUAAUCUCUCACAGUUAAGGAGUUCUGUCACCCCUGCACACCUGUCCAAAUACACCUUUUAUAUUUAAUGACAGAGUAGAGCUACACAAAGAAUUAAGUACUGAAAUGAUUCACAUGAUAGAUGUUUUUCAUGUCAAUAUUUUCCAGUGGUCCUGAUAAAAGGGAAUCAGUUUCAUUGCGGUGGACUUCCUUACUAUGUAAAUAUGGUUUACUGCCUCUGCUUUGGUAAUGGUGAAUCUUGUCCUCUGGUGAGCUUGUCUCUCAAAGAAUGAGCCUGGUGAGGAUGAUGCAGUGGCAGCCAUUUCAGAAUGAAAUGUGCAGUGAUUUCACUGUUACGGUUCUGCUUUAGUCAAUGUCAGCUAAAAUAGUAAUUGCAUCCCCAAAGAGAUUAUUGCUGCUGUUAAACUUUCUGGAAAAACAAAUAGGUAGAGGCAGAUGCAGUCCUCAUGUGAAUUGGCAGGAGGGUGUUGCACAGCCAAGUGGGUACUGCAUCUCACGUGAGAUGAAGGACAGCAUGUGCUUUAUGAGUCCAUGGCAGUGAAGUCCAUUGACCUUCCUGCAAAUUCCUGCCUGCUGAAAAGCCCCUCUUGCCUCUUGGGUUUGUGAGUGAACCAACUACUGGCCUAAUGCUACCUGCUGGAAACAAGUGGGUGAGGAAAGGGAGUUGAUUUAGUAGGUACUCUGGUCCAAUGAAAAUAAAUUUUGUUUACUCAGUUUAUAAAUAUUACUUAUUUAUAAAAUCAAUACAUCAUAUUGUAAAUAUUCAUAAAUGUGGACAUAUAAUAUAUGUGUAUGUAUUUGUAUAAUAUAUAUCACCCAUAUUUAUAGGUAUAUAAGAUUGCAGUUUAUAUGUAUAUAAAUCGAUAAGCCAGGGGAAUCAAGGAAAAAUAGAGAAGCGUGUUGCUGAUGGGAUCCUGGGAUGGAGCAGCUGUUCCUUGUUGAGAACAAGUCAAAGGUGACAGUCUGGUCCCAGAUAAGUAUGGUUUGUGCAUAUUAUCUUGUUUUGUUAAAUUUUCUAAUUAUUUCUGUCUUUCCAGCUCUCAUCCUUGAGCAGGUUCUUUGGCUGUGGGUUAGCCUUGUCAGGAAUAUCAAGGCAUGUGACACGCUUGGCCACAGAAGUCGGUGCGUGUGGGGUCUCUCACAAGUUCCUGUCAACACUUCAGCAUUGCAGCUCUCCAGAAUGGAUAACGUUGCUGCCAUUCAUUCUGAGUGGCAUCGUGGCCUCAUUUACAUAGGUUUUACGCUAUCUCAGUUAUCUCAACCUUUUGCUACAGUCAGUUCUUCAUUAUCUGAAGGUAAAUUUAGGUACAAGUCAUGACAGGCAAGGUCCUUGGCUUGGAAUAUGCCUGCCUUCCUGUAGCACUCAGUCACGCUCUGGUAUGGGUGGAUUUUCCUCUUAGGUACAGUCAAUUUGCCAGUCUUAUUCCUCCCAAAGCCAUUGUGCAGUUGAAUUUUCCAUCUUUUCCAGUUCUUUACCUGCACAACCUCCAGGUAGUGUGUACCGCUGGGGCACGAUGGGAUGGCUACCCCAGGCUUCCCCAUUACUGCUCAAAAGUCAGGCAGUGAUAUAAAUACACGGUGUUAUUUUGCUCGUGCCCACCAACCAUGAAUGGCUUUUUCAUUUGUCACCACUUUCUUUCUAAAUAACACCCAGGUUAUCCAAACUGUGUUCUCCCUGCCAUACGCAGCACCACACACUGUAUUUGCUCUGUAGGUUAUGCCCUGGUGGGCCUGAGAAGCCACCACAUAAUUUCACAUUUGUUCAGCCAUGUGGAGCUGGUAACGCUGGUGGCUACAGAAUUUCAGCUAUUGCAUCCCAUCAUUAGAAGAAAGGAGGGGAAAAAAAAAUGAAGAAAUGACCCCUCCUCUUCCUCUUGUCUCUUGGGAUGCCCUGAACGGCUCCAGAGCUGGUGCAGGAGGUUGUGAGCAGCUGCUGCCCUCUGUCCUGUUGUCCCCUGCCCUGGGUGAUGGGACAGCAGCACCCUAUGGUGAGGGGGCACCACUCUCACAAGCUGCUGCCUUCUCUGUUUGAGCAGGCAUGGUGCUUCUGUCCCUUUCUGUUCCUAGGUCUUCUGUGUCCCCCUUCCUGAAGCUCAUUUCCUUUUUUGUUUGAAAACAGCUCUUCUAAGGAAUAUGACCCUUCUUAGCACAAGCUGUCCUUAGGUACAGGAGGGCCUGGAUGUGUCUUGGCACGCCACCAGAUGACUUUACUCAUGGCUGACUGAAGAAAUCUGCUCUUCCAUAUAUAGUUUGUAACAGAGGGGACACGAAUGUGGACAAAAUCUAUGAAAAACCUUUGUAGAGACUGAUUAGCUUGCAAGAUGAAGAUGGGCCUACCCUUUUUCAAAGGGUGCUUGAGAGAAAGUGUUAGGUGGGGGGGGAGAAACUUUUGACCUAUUUAUACUUUCUAGUAAAUGUUUGAGCUAAAUAACAGCUAGAGCAGCCCUGCAUAUUGUGUGCAGUAAUCAAUUACAGCAAGGGGUGGAUGCAGCUGCAAUGGGAGGGAAUCAGAGGUGUUUUGAAGUUGAAGAGGCUGCUCUAGCAGCUGGGCUGUUGUACUUGUGGGCCUCCAGCAGAGGGGGGCUCUAAUAGUGCUUAGGCAUUGCUUUGGUGUUUGCUUUUACAGAAUCACAGAAUGGCUUGGGCUGGAAGGGACAUAAAGGAUCAUCUUGUUCCAAUCCCCCUGCUAUAGGCAGGGACGCCACCCACUAGAUCAGGUUGCCCCAGGCCAUGUCCAACCUGGCCUUGAACACCUCCAGGGAUGGGGCAUCCACAACCUCUCUGGGCAACCUGUGCCAGUGCCUCACCACCCUAUGAGUGUUUCCUCAUUGUCUACUUCGCUUUUCCAUUGUUAUCAUAGAAUCAUCUAAGUUGGAAAAGAUCUUCAAGAUCACCAAGUCCAACCAUCAGCCUGACCUACUGAGUCCCAUCACUAAACCACAUCCCUUAGUGCCACAUCCACACGUUUCUUAAAUACCUACAGGCAUGGGGAUUCUACCACUUCCCUGGGAGUUCCAAUGCUCAACCACCCUCUCUGUGAAGAAAUCUUCCCUAAUGUCCAAUCUAAGCCUCACCUUGAAACCUUUUAAUUGCAUCCUAUCACUUGACACCUAAGGAAAGAGACCAACACCCUCUCUGCAGCCACCUUUCAAGUAGUUGUAUAGAGUGAUGAGGUCUCCCCUCAGCAUCUUCUCCAGAUUAAACAGCCGCAGUUUCCCCAGCUGCUCCUCAUAACUCUUAUUUUCCAGUCCCUUCACCAGUUUCAUUGCUCUCUCUGCACAUGCUUAAGCCUCUGCACAUGCUUAAGCCGCUCCACAUCCUUGUAGUGCAGGCCCAAAUCUGAGCACAAAAUUCAAGGUGCAGUCUCAUCAGGGCAGCAUGCAAGGGGAUGAUCACUUCCCUAGUCCUACUGACCACACUAGUUCUAAUCCAGGCCAGAAUGCUAUUGGCCUUCUUGGUUACCUGGGCAUGCUGCUGGCUCAUGUUCAUAGAUGUUCUUCCAGACAAGAAUAGCCAAAUGUCAUAAUUUAGGAAGAGAGAUUUGAGAUGUUGUUGUCAUUGAUUAGUAAUUUUCAGUUCAGGGCCAAAAUACAUGAAGGAAAUAACUGUGAAUAAGUUGUCAGUGUUCUAACAUUUAUUACGGAUUGAAACUAAGACUGUUACUAGGUUUUGUGUGUAGAGUGAAUAGGAUUCAUCUCACCAGAAUUCAGGCAUGCAACAGAUGCAUAGCCCUUGCCUAGCCUUUGCGUACAAUCCAUGGAGGGGACUGCAUACAUCCCAAGGGUUAUCCAUCCAAUCCCUCUUAUCCUGAUUUGGGAAGCUAAGUUUGCAGAACACAGGCUAGCUAGAGCCUGAUCCCAAACAUUAUUUGUGCAUAUAUAAUUAUUCUCAUGUGUAGUUCCCCUAUUUUUGACAGUUAAUGACUAGACAGUUAAUUAUGUGAGUAACUAUUAUGCAGGAAUGGGCUCAAUUCUCAUUGUUUGUGUUACAGGGAGACUAAUUUGUCUCUUGAGAUGUCUGUUCCUCCUACAGAGAAACUACAGCGGGAGCAGAGGCUAGAACAGCUCAUAGGUAGACUUCUAACCUACACACACAGCUUAGGUAAAUCUCACCCAUCAUAUCUACCGCUAAUGUUACUAAUAUUGGGUAAUACCUGCUUUAUCUCUAAAGGUCUGUAGGUACUUAUCAGAUUUUAUGGAAUCUGAUUUCACAGCUGAUGGCAUAAGGUGUAACAGUUACUUAUGUAAUUAGUAGAUAGUCAUUAGCUUUUUUGAAAUCAGUGGAAUUCCACAUGGGAGCAAUUGCACGUGUGUAGGUAGGUUAGGCUGUUGUUGACUGGAGAUCUGUUAGGAAGCACUACAUAACAAACAGUCACAGUAAGCGAUGAUGGAAAAUUUAUCAUGUUCUAAUAUAUAGUGAUUCUUAUUCUGCAUUAGAUGUUCUGUUGGGAACUCUCCUACAUAAUAAUUGUUUUUAACAAAAACUGAAAAAAGUGUUUAAACAAAAAAAUCAAAAAUUCCUGUCCUUGAUUUCAGGACAGUCAUUUACUACUCAAGACCUUCAUUUUCAAAACUGAAUUCCCAUCUAAAGUGCUUCAACUCAAAAAAGCUGAAUGCCAGCAGUCUGCAUUUUGAACAGUUUCAGAAGUAUAGCACAGAUGAAGCCUUAGCGUUUACUACAGUAGAUAACACUCCUAUCAGUUUGCAGAAACAGAGCAAACUAGUGACCAACUCAAGCCAAAGAUUGAAGAUUUCCAUGAAAUCUACCAUAAAUGGCUACAAAGAGCAGAUAAUUUCUGUCUCUCCUUUCCACAAAACCCAGGCAAUACCAAAUACACAAGUAGGAUUUACAUCCUCCUCUUCUGCAGGAAUAAACCCUUCUGAACCAGUUUCCAAAACUGUGUCCACAGUGCAAGAAGAGUGUUUGAUUUAUUUGAAGGCAGAGAAACACCACAAGAAUGACUAAAGGAUUAGAGGAACAGGGUUGGGAAGUUAAGACAAGGUUAUUACAGACAUGGGGAUAUAUUCAUGACAUCAGCAUAUGCUGCGGCUCUUCCAGAACAGUUUCCAGUCUACACAAGACUGUAUAGAGCUAUCUGCAUGGUUUUAAGUGUGAUCAGCACUUGAGCUCUGUUUUGAGUUAAUAAUAUGGAAAACCUGCUGUGUGAUUCCUUGCUGUAAUGACCUGUUAGUAUACACAUGGGCUUUCAGGCUAUGAAAAUGACCCAUGAUUUAUAAAAUAUCCUCUUCCUGUUUGCAAUGAUGCAGAGAAAUACUGUCAUCUCUAACCCUUCAGCUUUCCCUGCACAGGGUCCUUGUUUGCUAUGUCUCCUACUGUUUGGAUUGAUGAUAAUGCACAGCAGUUUUCACUUGAACUAGUUCCAGUUGUAUCACUUCUGGAUGAAUUAUUACCCUUUCUUAGGGAAAAUUUUUGAGUUACAUCACUGUUGAUUUGAAUUACAAUAAAAUACAAAACAAUGAGCAGUCUGUGUAAUUUUGAUGAAAUUAUUGAACUUUGAUUUGGGGGAUUAAUUACCUGCAUUCACGGCAAGCUCUAUUUUUUGAUUCCCUAAAGCGAGGUUAAAUUAUGUCAGUAUUAUAGUCCUAAUCUUUUCCACAGAGGAGGCGAACUCUGAUUUGCUUUUGUUUUUCCCUAUGAUGACCAAUCCAGGUAUACAGAUAGAUAAGUACAGGAAGGUCAAGGUCUAGUCUCAUCUUGGUGAGAAUGUUCCUUGUUUUGUUUAAACAAAGCCAAGCUGUAAAGAAAGUAUGCCCUAGAUCUCUAUUUCAGAUCUAUUGUUAUCAAGACUCAUAUCAAGAAUUCAUUCCAUUCUGAAAUUAUAUCCCUUGAUCUUACAAUCUAGUUCAACUACUAGCAUGGUUUGGGUUCUAUCUACUAAAAUAGUGGGGGGUUUUUGUUGUUUUUGUUUGUUUGUUCUUUUUGUCUAGUAACAAAGCCCUGUCAUCCAAAAUUGUAUUUGUCUAUGAAUUUGUCUAUCACCUCACAGAUCAUGGUCCCUUAUGAAGAUCUUUUCAGCCAUCUACACAAACGCCUCUGAUUUUCUAGGACUUGCAGUGAUUUGUUUGUAUGUCCUAACUCUAUGCCUUAAGCAUGUCUUGGCAGCAACCACUCUUGUCCUUUUCCAGCGUAAUAUGGACAACUUCCCAUUUUGCAUAUCGACUUGAAGUGGUUUCUUGCCCAAUAGAUUGCUUUGUGUGGCAUGCCAAGGCACCUAAUUCUCUUCCUACAGUGUAAUGAGCCCAGGGGCCCAAGUUCAGGCUUUAGCUAGAAGGUAGCUAUGCAAGGCUCCACCAGACUGUAUUUCUCUGACGUUUGGAGUGAGCCCCUAAUGCCACUGAAAUCUCAGCAGUAUGCCAUCUGACCCUUCAAGGGAGUAGGUGUGUGAAAACAGAACAUAAAUCCUUUCAUCAGGCUUGCAGAGUUGGGAAUUGUAUCCCUUGUCUACAGGUUAUAGCACAAGUUUAAGUAGAGCAUGAUGGUAGCUCCCAUUUCUCAUUCAGAGCUUAGUUUAGUUUAGCUUUGUCUGAAAACAUUUGCAGUGGCUGUGCUGUCUGAUGAGCGUGCUGACAAAAAGCCGGAGACCGCAGAGGUACGUUGUCGUUGAUUCCUUUCUGCCACUGAGACAUUCCUGCUCAUCUCUUGCCCGGUGUCACAAGUGACUUAUUGGUCUUGCCUAUCACUGGAUUCAGCUGCUUCAGAACGAAUUCACGUAUGAGCUGUGCCACUGUAAAGUCAUCACGCCUUCCUAAAACCAAGUCUUUUUCAGAUAUUUUCCCCCAGAGAAAGAGGAAAGAAGAUGGAACAACCGAAAUGACAUUCGUGAGGUAAAAGAGCCAGCAGUUUUCCAGAUUUGAAAGGCAGUGCCUCUGGAUCCCGAUAAUUUGCAAUUGCUUUGUCAAGACACAGAAUUUUUCAAAAUCUUUGGCAGGGAAAACAUGCAUGUGACAUGUUGUUUCUCCUUGUGGAACAUUUUAAUGGCUAUGUUCAGCUCUCCCAGUGGGAUCUUACUUUCUUAGAGCAGGAAUUUGUCACCACUUACUUGAUUUGGAUGAACUUUCUGCCAAAAUCAACAAGGAAGGAAUUGGCGGGACGGACGUUAGCAAUAGGGAAAUUGUGACAUGUUUGAAGAGAACGCAUGCUCGGAGGAGGAGCUACUUCUGUUUCAAAAUGCAACUUCUUAUCUGCAAAACAAGCUUUACUCUUUCCUGCAGAUGUCUCGCCUCUGCCCUGCAGCAAUGCUAAGAUGUUUCAUCUUGUGAGAAGCCAAGGGAAAGAGAUCUUACUACAGUGAAAAUACCUAUUCACAUGCUAUUUAAACACCAGUCAUUCUAUUCAGCUGUACUAAAACAAGCGUUACAACCAGGUGGGACUGUAAUGAUUAGAAGUCUCAGCAGUUAUUACAGGGUUUGUUUUUCUACUGAAUCAACACAUGCUGCAGACUCUAAGCUGAAGGGAGGAAGGACAUACUUGUACAACAGCAGACAAAAAUAUCACUCAUUACCCUUCUGCUUAGUGGCCAGGAGUGACUUGGGACAGACAAGUCUGUCUUCCAGGAGAAAUCAGCAGUGCAAAACCUGAGUGGAUGAAAAAUCCCAGUUUUUAGCACACAAAGAUCAAACUUAAAGCAGUAGAGAUGCUAAGCAGUAUGCAGAGCACUUGUAUUUCUCAGAAAUUUAACUGAAGACAAGUGCCCAAGAGCCCAAGAACUGACUUCAGGUGGUGGUGAAGCUGGAGGGCAAGCAAUCUUCUUCUCCUCAGCUGUCCCUGAAACAACCCAACCAAAAUUAAUAGUGUUCCACGUCUUUCCAAGGCUGAAUAGUCACUCACACACAAAGAGGAAUAUGUAGGGGGCUUUUAAAAAAGCUGAUAACUAGGACAAGAAAACUUGAAUUGUUGAGCUAUGAGUGGAAUGUCCUCUUCUAAAAUGCCAAACAGCCGUGUGUUUUUUAGGUCAAAAGCUAACCAGACGAGCUAUGAGCUCUUGUUACUUCUUCUGUUCCUUCACAGUAAAAAUCCAGAGUGCUUUUAAAAUGCUGAGAACACAGCAGUAAUUGAAAAGAAUGGAUGCGAGGAAAGACUGUACUGAGUAAAUGUUAAAUAUUUUUAUAAAGCAAAAUGGGUGCUGAUGGUGGUCUUGCAUUUGCAGUCUCAGCCAGAAGCCAGUGUCCAAACAAGGAACACAAGAUCUGUUUUACCUCACCAUGUCGCAACCUCGGUCAUGGACUCGGAAAGCAGACAGCAGCUCCGGUGUGAAAUCAUGAGCCUCUUCUUGCGUCUGCCUCCAGAGCGACUACCUACGUCCCUCACACUGCACAGGCUGCAACAUCCCCGAAAACAAAGACCAGCAGAGUUAUCCAUCUUGCAGUACUCAGAAUGUAGCUCGUUAUCAAUUAUAAAUAUGCAUAUGUGGAUGUGCUUGAACACCUUUAUUCACCUGCAUAAAUCAACACAAGACACACAAUUGCCAAAUGUAUUCACCUAUAAUGAACACCUACCUGGAUACACGGCUGGUUUGAAACAAGACCAAGCAGGCGAUUAUGUAGAGCAAUAACCAGCCUGUGCAAAGCAGAACAGCCACAACCAUUUGGCCUACUUUUUCAGCCUGCAGAGGUGGUACCUGUUCUGUUCAUGUCUAUACGUUUCCUCUCUAUAUUUCUCUUCAUUGCUAUGUAUUGUGUUCCUUUGAAGAUUUAAUUAGAAACUUUGUGUUUCUGUUCUACCUCACUGGAAGGAUUCUCUAUUUAAAAUAAGUAUUU
This is a long non-coding RNA of Cygnus olor (mute swan), 14832 nucleotides long. RefSeq lists it as uncharacterized. Lineage: Eukaryota; Metazoa; Chordata; Aves; Anseriformes; Anatidae. The record is from RefSeq and is a predicted model, not a curated record. The transcript has 3 exons.